GGGUUGUGAGGUUAAGCGACUAAGCGUACACGGUGGAUGCCCUGGCAGUCAGAGGCGAUGAAGGACGUGCUAAUCUGCGAUAAGCGUCGGUAAGGUGAUAUGAACCGUUAUAACCGGCGAUUUCCGAAUGGGGAAACCCAGUGUGUUUCGACACACUAUCAUUAACUGAAUCCAUAGGUUAAUGAGGCGAACCGGGGGAACUGAAACAUCUAAGUACCCCGAGGAAAAGAAAUCAACCGAGAUUCCCCCAGUAGCGGCGAGCGAACGGGGAGCAGCCCAGAGCCUGAAUCAGUGUGUGUGUUAGUGGAAGCGUCUGGAAAGGCGCGCGAUACAGGGUGACAGCCCCGUACACAAAAAUGCACAUGCUGUGAGCUCGAUGAGUAGGGCGGGACACGUGGUAUCCUGUCUGAAUAUGGGGGGACCAUCCUCCAAGGCUAAAUACUCCUGACUGACCGAUAGUGAACCAGUACCGUGAGGGAAAGGCGAAAAGAACCCCGGCGAGGGGAGUGAAAAAGAACCUGAAACCGUGUACGUACAAGCAGUGGGAGCACGCUUAGGCGUGUGACUGCGUACCUUUUGUAUAAUGGGUCAGCGACUUAUAUUCUGUAGCAAGGUUAACCGAAUAGGGGAGCCGAAGGGAAACCGAGUCUUAACUGGGCGUUAAGUUGCAGGGUAUAGACCCGAAACCCGGUGAUCUAGCCAUGGGCAGGUUGAAGGUUGGGUAACACUAACUGGAGGACCGAACCGACUAAUGUUGAAAAAUUAGCGGAUGACUUGUGGCUGGGGGUGAAAGGCCAAUCAAACCGGGAGAUAGCUGGUUCUCCCCGAAAGCUAUUUAGGUAGCGCCUCGUGAAUUCAUCUCCGGGGGUAGAGCACUGUUUCGGCAAGGGGGUCAUCCCGACUUACCAACCCGAUGCAAACUACGAAUACCGGAGAAUGUUAUCACGGGAGACACACGGCGGGUGCUAACGUCCGUCGUGAAGAGGGAAACAACCCAGACCGCCAGCUAAGGUCCCAAAGUCAUGGUUAAGUGGGAAACGAUGUGGGAAGGCCCAGACAGCCAGGAUGUUGGCUUAGAAGCAGCCAUCAUUUAAAGAAAGCGUAAUAGCUCACUGGUCGAGUCGGCCUGCGCGGAAGAUGUAACGGGGCUAAACCAUGCACCGAAGCUGCGGCAGCGACGCUGAUGCGUUGUUGGGUAGGGGAGCGUUCUGUAAGCCUGCGAAGGUGUGCUGUGAGGCAUGCUGGAGGUAUCAGAAGUGCGAAUGCUGACAUAAGUAACGAUAAAGCGGGUGAAAAGCCCGCUCGCCGGAAGACCAAGGGUUCCUGUCCAACGUUAAUCGGGGCAGGGUGAGUCGACCCCUAAGGCGAGGCCGAAAGGCGUAGUCGAUGGGAAACAGGUUAAUAUUCCUGUACUUGGUGUUACUGCGAAGGGGGGACGGAGAAGGCUAUGUUGGCCGGGCGACGGUUGUCCCGGUUUAAGCGUGUAGGCUGGUUUUCCAGGCAAAUCCGGAAAAUCAAGGCUGAGGCGUGAUGACGAGGCACUACGGUGCUGAAGCAACAAAUGCCCUGCUUCCAGGAAAAGCCUCUAAGCAUCAGGUAACAUCAAAUCGUACCCCAAACCGACACAGGUGGUCAGGUAGAGAAUACCAAGGCGCUUGAGAGAACUCGGGUGAAGGAACUAGGCAAAAUGGUGCCGUAACUUCGGGAGAAGGCACGCUGAUAUGUAGGUGAAGUCCCUCGCGGAUGGAGCUGAAAUCAGUCGAAGAUACCAGCUGGCUGCAACUGUUUAUUAAAAACACAGCACUGUGCAAACACGAAAGUGGACGUAUACGGUGUGACGCCUGCCCGGUGCCGGAAGGUUAAUUGAUGGGGUCAGCGCAAGCGAAGCUCUUGAUCGAAGCCCCGGUAAACGGCGGCCGUAACUAUAACGGUCCUAAGGUAGCGAAAUUCCUUGUCGGGUAAGUUCCGACCUGCACGAAUGGCGUAAUGAUGGCCAGGCUGUCUCCACCCGAGACUCAGUGAAAUUGAACUCGCUGUGAAGAUGCAGUGUACCCGCGGCAAGACGGAAAGACCCCGUGAACCUUUACUAUAGCUUGACACUGAACAUUGAGCCUUGAUGUGUAGGAUAGGUGGGAGGCUUUGAAGUGUGGACGCCAGUCUGCAUGGAGCCGACCUUGAAAUACCACCCUUUAAUGUUUGAUGUUCUAACGUUGACCCGUAAUCCGGGUUGCGGACAGUGUCUGGUGGGUAGUUUGACUGGGGCGGUCUCCUCCUAAAGAGUAACGGAGGAGCACGAAGGUUGGCUAAUCCUGGUCGGACAUCAGGAGGUUAGUGCAAUGGCAUAAGCCAGCUUGACUGCGAGCGUGACGGCGCGAGCAGGUGCGAAAGCAGGUCAUAGUGAUCCGGUGGUUCUGAAUGGAAGGGCCAUCGCUCAACGGAUAAAAGGUACUCCGGGGAUAACAGGCUGAUACCGCCCAAGAGUUCAUAUCGACGGCGGUGUUUGGCACCUCGAUGUCGGCUCAUCACAUCCUGGGGCUGAAGUAGGUCCCAAGGGUAUGGCUGUUCGCCAUUUAAAGUGGUACGCGAGCUGGGUUUAGAACGUCGUGAGACAGUUCGGUCCCUAUCUGCCGUGGGCGCUGGAGAAUUGAGGGGGGCUGCUCCUAGUACGAGAGGACCGGAGUGGACGCAUCACUGGUGUUCGGGUUGUCAUGCCAAUGGCACUGCCCGGUAGCUAAAUGCGGAAGAGAUAAGUGCUGAAAGCAUCUAAGCACGAAACUUGCCCCGAGAUGAGUUCUCCCUGACUCCUUGAGAGUCCUGAAGGAACGUUGAAGACGACGACGUUGAUAGGCCGGGUGUGUAAGCGCAGCGAUGCGUUGAGCUAACCGGUACUAAUGAACCGUGAGGCUUAACCUUACAACGCCGAAG
This 2925-nucleotide ribosomal RNA is filed under the name Escherichia coli. RNAcentral's name for it is "23S ribosomal RNA". It matches the Rfam family "Bacterial large subunit ribosomal RNA". Lineage: Bacteria; Pseudomonadati; Pseudomonadota; Gammaproteobacteria; Enterobacterales; Enterobacteriaceae. The record is from RNAcentral.